GACGAACCGUGCGAACGUUGUUCGGAUUCACUGGGCUUAAAGGGCGCGUAGGCGGGCGGCAACGUCGGGGGUGAAAUCUCACGGCCCAACCGUGAAACGGCCUCCGAUACGGGCCGCCUCGAGGGAGGUAGGGGCACGCGGAACUUCCGGUGGAGCGGUGAAAUGCGUAGAUAUCGGAAGGAACGCCGGUGGCGAAGGCGGCGAUCUGGGUCGAUACUGACGCUGAGGUGCGAAAGCGUGGGGAGCAAACAGG
RNAcentral lists this ribosomal RNA (253 nucleotides) under uncultured bacterium. Its description in RNAcentral is "partial 16S ribosomal RNA". It matches the Rfam family "Bacterial small subunit ribosomal RNA", at positions 524 to 776 of the family's 1533-position model. The record is from RNAcentral.